UACGUAGGCAGCGAGCGUUGUUCGGAGUUACUGGGCGUAAAGAGUGCGUAGGCGGUCUUCUAAGUUUGGUGUGAAAUCUCCCGGCUUAACUGGGAGGGUGCGCCGAAAACUGGAAGGCUUGAGUAUGGGAGAGGUAAGCGGAAUUCCUGGUGUAGCGGUGAAAUGCGUAGAUAUCAGGAGGAACACCUGCGGUGUAGACGGCUUACUGGACCAUAACUGACGCUGAGGCACGAAAGCGUGGGGAGCGAACAGG
Molecule: ribosomal RNA, 253 nt
Filed under: uncultured bacterium
Lineage: Bacteria
Description: partial 16S ribosomal RNA
Rfam family: Bacterial small subunit ribosomal RNA
Source: RNAcentral